Molecule: transfer RNA, 74 nt
Filed under: archaeon
Lineage: Archaea
Also listed under: 2 other names
Description: tRNA-Val
Rfam family: tRNA
About the family: Transfer RNA (tRNA) molecules are approximately 80 nucleotides in length. Their secondary structure includes four short double-helical elements and three loops (D, anti-codon, and T loops).
Source: RNAcentral
GGGCCCGUGGUCUAGCUCGGUAUGACGUUUCCUUGACGUGGAAAAGAUCACCGGUUCGAAUCCGGUCGGGCCCA